CCACCGCCGGCGGUGAGCAUAACCCAGAUCCCCUAACCACAUCGAUGCAUGCCUUCCCUAGUGACGCGGCCACCGACAGCCCCGUCCACCGCUAGCCCUCUCGAAGGACCAAGACAGCGCCCUCCACUUCCUCCUCUCAGGGAAAGAUCCUUCCUAUUCUUCCUCUCUGGAAGGACCAAGACAGCGCCCUCCUCUUCUUCCUCUCAGGGAAAGAUUCCAUAUGUGGUAUGUUGCAUCGCAGGAAAAAUUAUCUUCUGCCAUCUCAUGUGCCUGCCUAGUUGGUUAUAUCUAUUAGUUUGGUCUGACAAGCUCUUGUCUGUUAUGUGAUGCUUUAUUUCUCUAAAAAUGUUGUGGAUCUGAAAAUUUUCAGUUACUCUGUUAUGGAUCUGGUUUAACUCUAAUGUUGAUGCACUAUUGUUGUCAUUGCAGACUAUUAAUGCAUUUAGUUCUCUGUGAAAUUUUUCAGCUACUUUAUUUGGUUAAUUGUGUUGCGCGACUACUUUGUUAGGCAUCCAGUAAUACUUCUGUUGGUGCGUGAAGUUCAACAAAAUAUUAUAAAAGUGAACCUUGAUUUUAAUUUGGAGACACAAGAAAGACACUGGCAUAUAAAAUGUCAUCGAGACAAUGGCAUAUAUAUGUCAUUGGGAAAACGAAUGGACAUGUAGGAAAUUGUUGGUCUGGUGUCCUGUUUUAACACUUGUUUGAAACAUCUGAAUAUUACACCCUAAAUCCUAUGUAAACCUUGGGAACUUAUUAUCACUGGAUCUUAUUGUUGCCAUGUAAGCUUGAUUGCUGAUCUACAACAUGGUUAUGCUUUAUGUCAUGUCUUCACCUUUGUUUGGCCAAUCUGAAUAGAAGAACAAAAACACAACUCCCUAAUCCUUUAGAUUCAGUAUGUGGCUCCAUGCAAGUUUAUCACUGGCAUAUAAUUAUAUGAUGAUAAGCUUCAUUGUUUUAUUUUCAGCUUGUGCUAGAGGCAUGCCGCUGGCACCGUUGGGCCCUCAUUUAUGUUAUACAAGCCAUUUGAGGAUAUGACGUGGUAAGUCAGCAAAUGGAAUGGAUGGAUCCAUCAUUUUGCCAUCCUGAUGCUUGUCCAGGAUUUCCUUUUUGUUAACCAGUUCAACUAGUCCAUCAUUUUAAACUAGGCCCGAGAAAUGAAGGUUCAGUUUAUCACAAACAAUUUUAAUAUGUAUCACCUUACUAUCUUGGCAGAUGAGCUAUUUUUCAGUCAACGCGUGGCGAGUCCACUUGGAACUGAAUAGGCACUGGUUCUUCUUCUUACUCUCCAUGAGCCCCUUAUACUACUGCUAUGGUUUAUGUGCCUACUUUUAACUCUCUAAUCUGAAAUUGGGCUGCUUUGUUUCAGCUGAUCUGAUAGUGUGGGUGGGAUAUACAGAACAACCUUGAGAUGUGUCUGCGACCAAUCCACAUUCGGCACAACUCCCACAACUUGAACACCAAGCUCUUUGCCAUUUAAGUACGUAUCUGCACCCCAAAUGGCUUAUUUCAAAGUGUAGAGCGUAGUUUGCAACUGAAUGGCUCAGUUUGUCCUGUGAUUGCGUCAUGUGUAAUUUAAAUUCACUACUACCAGCACUAGCCGUUGUAACUGUGGCUCACUGGUUGUAUUAGGAAAUGCUCUGCUAAUGUUUGUGCAACUCAUGACCGGUAUUUGAAUCAAUUCACUAGGCAUUACGUAACAGCUGAACACCACUUUUAUUUUAUGGUAGAUGGUUGAGAGAAUAAACUAGAUGGAUGACAAAUCCGAGAAGGGCAUUGAACAAAGUGUAGGUAUCAUGGUAAAUUAUCUCUAAGGUAUUCCUUUAGCCUUUUAGUGUGUUUAGAAGUUACAAGAUGACAUGAUUUGUUUCUCUGUAUGUAGGAUCUAUCUGCAUGCAUACUAUAUUUAUCGGCUUUAUUCAUACUGAUGUCUUGCCAAAGCAACUAUGUAUUAGAACAGAAGCAAUAGGGGCCUGAACCAAUAGGGGUCUUCCCAAAGCCAACCAAUCCAGUUUACGCAUCCAUUUGGCCAAGCUAAUUGGUUGCAACGUGAAUGAAAAUAGGCCAAUGAUUGCAGCGAGAGAUGCCUUGCUGAUUAGUAGUAUGCGGUUGUCCAUGAGCGUCUCCCUUUUAUAGGUAUUUGACUGUUAGACAAUUUAUAUACAUGUCCAUGCAUGGGUCUGUUGAAUUUUUUCCUAGAGUUCAAAGUGAUCCCUUGGUAUGCGUUUGUAUUUCUAUGAAAUAUGAUCCUGUUGUUUUUUAGGAAAAAUAUUCUGGUGUCAUAAGUCUAGAUGCUUUUGCUGGUAUCCAGAUCUUUGUUGGCACGGCUGCACCUCUUUGGUUACCUAGCAUGGCAAUGCAACAUAAGUCUACAUGGUAUUGUUGUACAUAACAUGAUAGAACAUAAAUUGUUGACACUAAGCGCACAUAUUUUGGUACUUAGUCGUCCAUGCAUGAUUUAUUAUAGUUAAAAUUCUAUUGUAGGUGCGAACCAACAUGUGAUUGGGUGGUUAGGGGUAGGGUGCGCGUGCGUGCGUUUAUAUGGAUACGUGUAUGUGCGUAUGUAUGAGCGUGUGUGUCUGCACUAUGUUGAAAACAAAUGUAUUGUAGGCAUGCUUUAUUUUUAAAAAGAAUGCGAAGAGAGAUACUUCAUUAGAUAAAAAAAGUAUCUCCUAAUAUCAUUGUCGUCACUAUAAGUUUGAUUUGUAUAAGUGCAAAUCUACUUGGUAGAGCUAUUCUUUUUGUGAAACCCAUGUCUGAGUUAAACAUGACGCACUAAGCAAUACAGACUGUAUUAUGAUAGAACGCUAAUGUUCGGACUAUCUAUUUGGUAGUGCUAGUAUUUUUUUUAAAUCCACAGGACACAUCAAAUAGGAGUCCAGGCUGUUUUUUUCUUUCACAUGCUAGGGCGCUUAUCUUGUGCGUGGGGGGUUAGGUGCCGAACUCUUCUUUUGUUUUUUCGUACUGGACGCUUCCUCUUUCCCGUGGGAGGUUAUGUAGCUCUUAAUCAUGAAAAAUCUAGAGAGGUUGCGAAGGAGUUUGUCUUUUCUUCAGUGAAUGCUUAUGUAAUAGACUAUAAAAUAAGCUACUGGGUUGUAUGAUCUCUGUUUCAGAUGGUCAAUACCUUCAUUGUUGAUAAAAUUGCAAGCACAUGAACAUAGUUCUGUAUAGUACCAUGUGAGCCGUUGAUAUCAUGAGGAUUUAUUGAUUGACUAUGUUAAUCCACAAAUGAGCUUUGAACAACUUGAGCUGAUUACACUUUCUUGACAAUUUUUUGUCAAAAAUUCCAGGUACUUAGCCAACUGGUGCACAUGGACGUGAUGACUUUGCAGCGUUUAUGGACCAACGAACUUGUAAUCAUGGAUCUUAUGUGUUGUAGACCAUUUGGUGAUUUGGUUAUUUUGGAGCUUGCAUUUUGUGCAUGUGGAUACAGACUUGUGUGUACUGGAUCAUCUAGUUGAAGUUUCUCAUACCAGCAAAUAAUGCUAUCUUUUUGUGACUUGUGUGUUCUGGGUGAUUAUUAAGAUGGUAAAAACUAUGCUUUGUCAAGAUUGAUGUGUUUGUCAACUUGUGUUCAAUGUAUACGAACGUUUGUGAAUAUAUUUCAUUGUUGUACAAUAUGUGUUCAUCUUGAACCUGCUUCUGGAUGUGGGGAUAAUAAUUGAAUCUGUUUAGAGCUU
This 3677-nucleotide long non-coding RNA is filed under the name Triticum aestivum (bread wheat). RNAcentral describes it as "long non-coding RNA (TAES_LNC001447)". Lineage: Eukaryota; Viridiplantae; Streptophyta; Magnoliopsida; Poales; Poaceae. The record is from RNAcentral.